RNAcentral lists this ribosomal RNA (301 nucleotides) under uncultured bacterium. RNAcentral's name for it is "partial 16S ribosomal RNA". It matches the Rfam family "Bacterial small subunit ribosomal RNA", at positions 509 to 807 of the family's 1533-position model. The record is from RNAcentral.
CAGCAGCCGCGGGAAUACAGAGGGUGCGAGCGUUAAUCGGAAUUACUGGGCGUAAAGCGUGCGCAGGCGGUUAUAUAAGACAGAUGUGAAAUCCCCGGGCUCAACCUGGGAACUGCAUUUGUGACUGUAUAGCUAGAGUACGGCAGAGGGGGAUGGAAUUCCGCGUGUAGCAGUGAAAUGCGUAGAUAUGCGGAGGAACACCGAUGGCGAAGGCAAUCCCCUGGGCCUGUACUGACGCUCAUGCACGAAAGCGUGGGGAGCAAACAGGAUUAGAUACCCCCGUAGUCCCUGUCUCUUAUAC